AUUGAGCGUACCUUAAUCAACACAUAAUUACAAAAAGCGUGAAAACAAAAUGUCAUGAUAUACGUUACAACCAAUACACUAAAUAUUCCAUUGCUUUUUGUCCAACGAGAAAACAACUCCGGAAACAAAGUGCGUAUUACGGAUACAAUGUAUUGAAUUUUACCGUGCAGCUGACAUCCCUCGUGGAGCCGGUAAUCCUCAGAACAAAAGUAUAUUGCGUUAGUCUACAGAUAAUACCAUUAAUAUAAUUGGUUUGGAUAAAAGUAAUUUCUUGGACUUUGCAAUUAGAUAAAGCGAAAGUGUGGAAAUUGUAUUUAUGAUCAAAGAAAAGUUUUUGAAUAUGUAAUGAUCCACCAAAGCAUACUUAAGUGACAGAAUUUAAGUUUGAAGUCUUCAAGACAGCUAUGGAUAGAGUCAUGUGUUGCAUGGUGUGUUUGAUUGUCUUACUUGUAGCCGUCUCGUUAGGAGAUACAAGAAAUUACGUAUCCGUGCCGAAGUUGAACUUCAGAUCAUUACAGAAUUUAUUGAUGUCAUCCUUGUCCGACGACGACGCAAACGACAACGAGUAUAUGGAUGCAGACGACAAUUACCAAAGCAACAGUGUACGUCAAACGUCAGAGGAAUUAUAUAAAUAUGCAAAGCGAGGAAUAGGACAGUGCAUUUUUAAUUGUUUAAAACGUCCAGGACAAAUGAACUUCAUACAAUGUAAAUCAAUGUGCCACAAAAGAUGAUGGAAGGACCAAACCUUGAAAGUCAUAGACAAUUGAAAGCUGUAUUUUAAAAUCUUACAAUUUUAUCCAUGGAAUAAAAAGACAAAACCACGUCACAAUAUCAUUUAAGUAGAGCCACACAUGUAUAUCCAGCACGGUUUACUACAUUUUUCCUGGUGUUCUUAAUAAAUAUUUUUUUCGGGAUAAA
This is a long non-coding RNA of Mytilus californianus (California mussel), 918 nucleotides long. RefSeq lists it as uncharacterized. The transcript is spliced from 3 exons. NCBI's taxonomy places the organism in Eukaryota, Metazoa, Mollusca, Bivalvia, Mytilida, Mytilidae. The record is from RefSeq and is a predicted model, not a curated record.